RNAcentral lists this transfer RNA (75 nucleotides) under Dyadobacter chenwenxiniae. RNAcentral describes it as "tRNA-Met". It matches the Rfam family "tRNA". Rfam says of the family: Transfer RNA (tRNA) molecules are approximately 80 nucleotides in length. Their secondary structure includes four short double-helical elements and three loops (D, anti-codon, and T loops). The record is from RNAcentral. Lineage: Bacteria; Pseudomonadati; Bacteroidota; Cytophagia; Cytophagales; Spirosomataceae.
ACAAUUGCCUUAACCUCGUGCCUGGGCAUCUGACUCAUAAUCAGUAGGUGCCUGGUUCGAUUCCAGGCUGUUCCA